Molecule: ribosomal RNA, 263 nt
Filed under: uncultured Eubacteriales bacterium
Lineage: Bacteria; Bacillati; Bacillota; Clostridia; Eubacteriales
Description: uncultured Clostridiales bacterium partial 16S ribosomal RNA
Rfam family: Bacterial small subunit ribosomal RNA
Source: RNAcentral
UGAAGUAUGAUAUGACUGAGUGGCGGACGGGUGAGUAACGCGUGAGUAACCUGCCCUUCAGAGGGGGAUAGCGUUUGGAAACGGCUGCUAAUACCGCAUAAGACCACGCUAUCGCAUGAUAGAGAGGUCAAAGAUUUAUCGCUGAUAGAUGGGCUCGCGUCCGAUUAGUUAGUUGGUGAGGUAACGGCUCACCAAGACCGCGAUCGGUAGCCGGACUGAGAGGUUGAACGGCCACAUUGGAACUGAGACACGGUCCAAACUCC